AUGGGGAGGUUUGCGGCAUCCGGGCACCCGUCAUCAAAAUCUGGUAUCGGUCCUUCUAAAUGUGUGGAGCUUGCUAAGCAUGUGAAACUAGCUUGCCCAAACUUAAUACUGUCAGGACUCUUGACAAUAGGGAUGAAAGAUUACUCCUCAACACCAGAAAAUUUUAAGGCAUUGGCAAAUUGUAAGCUUGAAUUUUGCAAGGCCCUUGGGAUACCAACAGAACAGUUUGAACUCUCCAUGGGAAUGUCCGGUGACUUUGAGCAAGCGGCACUAUGCUGCUUGGGCUCAAUUACCUAUUUCUGCCGUUUUGCAGCUGCCGUUCCAAAUCUUGACAUGGUUGAUAGUGUAGGUAAUGAAAAGAUUGCUAAUCAUCUGGAUCAUGCUGUCGUUAGCUUGGGGAGGGAGCCUUUGGAAGUUAUGGUGCAAAUAAACACUAGUGGAGAAGAAUCCAAAUCUGGUGUUGAUCCUUCUAAAUGUGUGGAGCUUGCUAAGCAUGUGAAACUAGCUUGCCCAAACUUAAUAUUGUCAGGACUCAUGACAAUAGGGAUGAAAGAUUACUCCUCAACACCGGAAAAUUUUAAGGUGGCUUUCUAUUAUGACAUUAUCAUGAAUAAUCUUUCUGUGUUGACACUUUCACAAGCUGCUGUUUUCUUUGAUCUGAAUACAGGCACUGGUAAACUGUAA
Molecule: ribosomal RNA, 684 nt
Filed under: Triticum aestivum (bread wheat)
Lineage: Eukaryota; Viridiplantae; Streptophyta; Magnoliopsida; Poales; Poaceae
Description: partial small subunit ribosomal RNA
Source: RNAcentral